RNAcentral lists this unclassified non-coding RNA (282 nucleotides) under Hevea brasiliensis (rubber tree). The record is from RNAcentral. Lineage: Eukaryota; Viridiplantae; Streptophyta; Magnoliopsida; Malpighiales; Euphorbiaceae.
UUUUGGAUCCUUUUGAGCCACAACAACUUAAUGGGGGGAGAGAGAGAGAGUGGGAGGGAGCAUUGUGGAAGCAUCAAAUAUGCAAGUGAUCUGUACCUAUGAUCAUAUUAUUUGUAUAUUGCCUUCAGUUAUUGGGCGAUCAACCCUUUGGCACAAUGAUUUUUAAUGAAAUUGAAUAAACCUGCCGUCUCUAUUAGGGUAAGGGUUUUCACUUUCCGAAAAAGAUCUUCCUCUCCCCCACCCUCCUAGCCCAAAUACCUGCUUUUAGAGAGAGAGAGAGAG